This is a long non-coding RNA of Helianthus annuus (common sunflower), 396 nucleotides long. RefSeq lists it as uncharacterized. NCBI's taxonomy places the organism in Eukaryota, Viridiplantae, Streptophyta, Magnoliopsida, Asterales, Asteraceae. The record is from RefSeq and is a predicted model, not a curated record. The transcript is spliced from 3 exons.
ACGGGAUCUCACUAAAUGCUUUUGAUGAUACUGAUAUCGAAAAAUGGAAUCUACGCUUCCGUUUUUUGCUCGAUAGAAUGUACGUUUUAGACGACCUCAGUGAGUAUAUGGCUUCAAACAAAUUAAAAGGAGGCGACACAUUGACAUUUUCUCGGCUGCUGCCUAAUGGACCAUAUGUCUUAGGAUUUAGAAAGGCAUCUACCAAGAAACCAUCAUCGCGUAAGGCAUCGACCCGAGAUAAGAAGUAGCUACUUUCUUUGGAUGAGUGUCUACUGAUCUUGAUAAAAUGCAUUAUCUUUCAAUCUUGAUAUGUAUGAGCGUUAUCGGUGGGAUUAUAUUUAUGAACUUCUAAAUAUUAUGUGGUUGUUAUUGCUAUGAUUGAGACCGAGAGACUAA